Molecule: unclassified non-coding RNA, 744 nt
Filed under: Hevea brasiliensis (rubber tree)
Lineage: Eukaryota; Viridiplantae; Streptophyta; Magnoliopsida; Malpighiales; Euphorbiaceae
Source: RNAcentral
AGGUGAGAUGCACAAUUAAUAAAAUAAAGACACCUAAUCUUACAUAAAAGAGCUGUUCAUAUUAAUAGCAUAAAACAAUUAGAAUUCAUGAUAUUUUCUUACUAAAACAACUACUUGAAAACUUAAUUCUAAUAACAAUGUAGUGUAAUCAGUGAUCAUCAAUUCAUGCAAGUAGAUUAGUGGGCAGCUGAAUCUUCUUAAAAAAGGUGUGAAAAUGGGAAAAAAACUGAGAGGAUUGAGAGGCAGCAGAGGUAGAAUGAGGCUAAGGGAGUGAGGAAAGUUGUAGAAUAGAUGAGAAAAUGAAGGGAAGAAAGGAGUGGGUGAAAGGAUGGAUAGAUGGGAAGCAGCAGAGGUAGACUGAAGAAAAGGGGGUGGGUGAAAGAGUAUAAUAGAUUUAGCAAAUUUCAUAAGAGACAGACAAAAAAACCUAUUAUGUAAUUUUUUUCCUUUUUGCCUUAUAUGGGAAAUGACAAAAAAGUAUCCUGUGGUUUUCCGCAUUUUAACUUUAAGGUCUGAGAUUAAGUUUGUGACAAAAUGAUACCCUAUGGUUACACACCGUUAGCAAAGAGAGGUGGGUGAAAGAGUAUAAUAGAUUUAGCAAAUUUCAUAAGAGACAGACAAAAAAACCUAUUAUGUAAUUUUUUUCCUUUUUGCCUUAUAUGGGAAAUGACAAAAAAGUAUCCUGUGGUUUUCCGCAUUUUAACUUUAAGGUCUGAGAUUAAGUUUGUGACAAAAUGAUACCCU